GAUGAAGAACGUAGCGAAAUGCGAUAAGUAGUGUGAAUUGCAGAAUUCAGUGAAUCAUCGAAUCUUUGAACGCACAUUGCGCCCCAUGGUAUUCCGUGGGGCAUGCCUGUUCGAGCGUCAUUUACCCCCUCAAGCUCCGCUUGGUGUUGGGCGUCUGUCCCGCUUCGCGCGCGGACUCGCCCCAAAGGUAUUGGCAGCGGUCGUGCCAGCUUCUCGCGCAGCACAUUGCGCUUCUCGAGGCACCGGUGGGCCCGCGUCCAUCAAGCUCACCCCCCCAGUUUGACCUCGGAUCAGGUAGGGAUACCCGCUGAACUUAAGCAUAUCAAUAAGCUGAGGA
This 337-nucleotide unclassified non-coding RNA is filed under the name soil metagenome. RNAcentral's name for it is "partial contains 5.8S ribosomal RNA, internal transcribed spacer 2, and large subunit ribosomal RNA". The stretch from base 1 to 120 matches the Rfam family "5.8S ribosomal RNA", at positions 35 to 154 of the family's 154-position model. The record is from RNAcentral.